This 433-nucleotide ribosomal RNA is filed under the name uncultured bacterium. RNAcentral describes it as "partial 16S ribosomal RNA". It matches the Rfam family "Bacterial small subunit ribosomal RNA", at positions 29 to 507 of the family's 1533-position model. The record is from RNAcentral.
AACGAACGCUGGCGGCAUGCCUAACACAUGCAAGUCGAACGAGACCUUCGGGUCUAGUGGCGCACGGGUGCGUAACGCGUGGGAACCUGCCCUUAGGUUCGGAAUAACUCCCCGAAAGGGGUGCUAAUACCGGAUAAUGUCUUCGGACCAAAGAUUUAUCGCCUUUGGAUGGGCCCGCGUUGGAUUAGCUAGUUGGUAGGGUAAAAGCCUACCAAGGCGACGAUCCAUAGCUGGUCUGAGAGGAUGAUCAGCCACACUGGGACUGAGGCACGGCCCAGACUCCUACGGGAGGCAGCAGUGGGGAAUAUUGGACAAUGGGCGAAAGCCUGAUCCGGCAAUGCCGCGUGAGUGAUGAAGGCCUUAGGGUUGUAAAGCUCUUUUACCCGGGAUGAUAAUGACAGUACCGGGAGAAUAAGCUCCGGCUAACUCCGUG